AUUGAACGCUGGCGGCAUGCUUUACACAUGCAAGUCGAACGGCAGCGCGGGCUUCGGCCUGGCGGCGAGUGGCGAACGGGUGAGUAAUGCAUCGGAACGUGCCCAGUAGUGGGGGAUAGCCCGGCGAAAGCCGGAUUAAUACCGCAUACGACCUGAGGGUGAAAGCGGGGGACCGAAAGGCCUCGCGCUAUUGGAGCGGCCGAUGUCGGAUUAGCUAGUUGGCGGGGUAAAGGCUUACCAAGGCGACGAUCCGUAGCUGGUCUGAGAGGACGACCGGCCACACUGGGACUGAGACACGGCCCAGACUCCUACGGGAGGCAGCAGUGGGGAAUUUUGGACAAUGGGGGCAACCCUGAUCCAGCCAUGCCGCGUGCGGGAAGAAGGCCUUCGGGUUGUAAACCGCUUUUGUUCGGGAAGAAAUCCUCUGGGCUAAUACCCCGGGGGGAUGACGGUACCGGAAGAAUAAGCACCGGCUAACUACGUG
Molecule: ribosomal RNA, 484 nt
Filed under: uncultured bacterium
Lineage: Bacteria
Description: partial 16S ribosomal RNA
Rfam family: Bacterial small subunit ribosomal RNA
Source: RNAcentral